AGUGAACGCUGGCGGUAGGCCUAACACAUGCAAGUCGUACGGCAGCACAGUAAGAGCUGUCUAUUACUGGUGACGAGUGGAGUACGGGGGAGGUAUACAGCGGAAUCUACUUGUUCGAGGGGGGGAAAGUAGGGAAACUAACGCAAAUACCCUAUACGUGCUACGGGUGAAAGCAGAAGAUCUGCGGACUUUGCACGAUUGAAUGACCCGUUGUCGGAUUAGCGAGGUGGUGGCGUAAAAGCCCACCAAGGCGAAGAUCCGUAGCUGGUCUGAGAGGAUGAUCAGCCACACUGGGACUGAGCGACGGUACAGACACCUACGGAAGGCAGCAGUGCGGAAUAUUGGACAAUGGGGGCAAUCCUGAUCCAGCCAUACAGCGUGGGUGAAGCAGGCCUUCGGGUUGUAAAGCCCUUUUGUUGGGAAAGAAAAGCAGCAGGUUAAUCCCCCGUUGUUCUGACGGUACCCAAAGAAUAAGCACCGGCUAACUUCGUG
This 492-nucleotide ribosomal RNA is filed under the name uncultured bacterium. Its description in RNAcentral is "partial 16S ribosomal RNA". It matches the Rfam family "Bacterial small subunit ribosomal RNA", at positions 29 to 507 of the family's 1533-position model. The record is from RNAcentral.